GAUGAACGCUGGCGGCGUGCUUAACACAUGCAAGUCGAACGGAAAGGCCCAAGCUUGCUUGGGUACUCGAGUGGCGAACGGGUGAGUAACACGUGGGUGAUCUGCCCCGCACUUCGGGAUAAGCCUGGGAAACUGGGUCUAAUACCGGAUAGGACCACUUCUUGGAGGUUGUGGUGGAAAGUUUUUUCGGUGUGGGAUGAGCUCGCGGCCUAUCAGCUUGUUGGUGGGGUAAUGGCCUACCAAGGCGUCGACGGGUAGCCGGCCUGAGAGGGUGUACGGCCACAUUGGGACUGAGAUACGGCCCAGACUCCUACGGGAGGCAGCAGUGGGGAAUAUUGCACAAUGGGCGCAAGCCUGAUGCAGCGACGCCGCGUGGGGGAUGACGGCCUUCGGUUUGUAAACUCCUUUCGCUAGGGACGAAGCGCAAGUGACGGUACCUAGAGAAGAAGCACCGGCUAACUACGUG
RNAcentral lists this ribosomal RNA (466 nucleotides) under uncultured bacterium. RNAcentral describes it as "partial 16S ribosomal RNA". It matches the Rfam family "Bacterial small subunit ribosomal RNA", at positions 28 to 507 of the family's 1533-position model. The record is from RNAcentral.